GACGAACGCUGGCGGCGUGCUUAACACAUGCAAGUCGAACGGAAAGGCCUGCUUUCCCUUGUGGAUUGCGGGUACUCGAGUGGCGAACGGGUGAGUAACACGUGAGUGAUCUGCCCCCAACUUGGGUAUAAGCCUGGGAAACUGGGUCUAAUUCCCGAUAGGACUGCAGGGUGGUGCCUGUGGUGGAAAACGAUUUUCUAGUGGUUGGGGAUGAGCUCGCGGCCUAUCAGCUUGUUGGUGGGGUAAUGGCCUACCAAGGCGGCGACGGGUAGCCGGGCUGGGGGGGUUGACCGUCGCAUUGGGACUGAGCUACGGCCCAGACUCCUACGGGAGGCAGCAGUGGGGAAUAUUGCACAAUGGGCGGAAGCCUGAUGCAGCGACGCCGCGUGGGGGAUGACGGCCUUCGGGUUGUAAACUCCUUUCGACCGCGAGGAAGCCACCUGGUUGGAAGGGUGGUGACGGUAGUGGUAGAAGAAGCACCGGCUAACUACGUG
RNAcentral lists this ribosomal RNA (494 nucleotides) under uncultured bacterium. RNAcentral describes it as "partial 16S ribosomal RNA". It matches the Rfam family "Bacterial small subunit ribosomal RNA", at positions 28 to 507 of the family's 1533-position model. The record is from RNAcentral.